Molecule: ribosomal RNA, 497 nt
Filed under: uncultured bacterium
Lineage: Bacteria
Description: partial 16S ribosomal RNA
Rfam family: Bacterial small subunit ribosomal RNA
Source: RNAcentral
GAUGAACGCUGGCGGCGUGCCUAAUACAUGCAAGUCGAGCGAACGGACGAGAAGCUUGCUUCUCUGAUGUUAGCGGCGGACGGGUGAGUAACACGUGGAUAACCUACCUAUAAGACUGGGAUAACUUCGGGAAACCGGAGCUAAUACCGGAUGAUAUUUUGAACCGCAUGGUUCAAAAGUGAAAGACGGUCUUGCUGUCACUUAUAGAUGGAUCCGCGCUGCAUUAGCUAGUUGGUAAGGUAACGGCUCACCAAGGCAACGAUGCAUAGCCGACCUGAGAGGGUGAUCGGCCACACUGGAACUGAGACACGGUCCAGACUCCUACGGGAGGCAGCAGUAGGGAAUCUUCCGCAAAGGGCGAAAGCCUGACGGAGCAACGCCGCGUGAGUGAUGAAGGUCUUCGGAUCGUAAAACUCUGUUAUUAGGGAAGAACAUAUGUGUAAGUAACUGUGCACAUCUUGACGGUACCUAAUCAGAAAGCCACGGCUAACUACGUG